Dicentrarchus labrax (European seabass) is the source of this 1141-nucleotide long non-coding RNA. RefSeq lists it as uncharacterized. The record is from RefSeq and is a predicted model, not a curated record. Lineage: Eukaryota; Metazoa; Chordata; Actinopteri; Moronidae. The transcript has 3 exons.
UAGAAUGAAUCAAUCUAAUCACUGCAGGUCUUGUAUGCUUAUGUUCAUCAUAUAGAUAUGUCAGUCUUAAAUAUGGACUGUUUUAUAACCAGUUAAAAGUUAAUUAUAGUAGGUUUAAAGAUUGAACUCAGUCAGGACCUUCACGUGCUGUAAAGUGUCAAUCAGUGUGACCUUAUCAGCUACUUGUUACCUGAUGGAAAUGAUGGCAUUUAGUGAAUAACAGCAGCACAGCAGUGACAAACACACUAUUUGUCAGAGUUGUGAGAGGAAGGAGGGAGGGAUUAAGGGAGGAGCAAAACUGAGACUCAAGUACAGAAAAGACAGAAACUUUCACAGUGGUGUUUCAUCCAAAAAACAGACAGAUUGUCUUUAUCUUUAAGAUGCUGUCAGUGAACUUCAGUCUGUUUGUGACUUUGUUUCUGCUCACAAUAAGAGGUGUCAGCUGUGAAGAACUCACUGCAGUCAAGAAACAAGAGUCUCAGUUUAGAAGACAGCACUGUUACUCUGUCCUACAAAUACUACAAACAAGCUGAUGUAACUGAAUAUUUCUUCUGGUAUCGACAAUAUCCAGGAAAACCACCACAGUUCCUCAUCUCUCACUCAGGAACAGGAAAGUUAAUGUCUAACCCAGUCUCUAGACUGUCAGUUACAGUGAGUGAGGAUAAAACCCAAAUGGAUCUGCAGAUCUCCUCUGCUGCAGUGACAGACUCUGCUCUGUACUACUGUGCUGUGAGGCCCACAGUGACAGCAAACCCACAGUCUCUGUACAAAAACACAAGCUGACACACUGACAAGCUGCUGGAAGCCUUUUUUCCACACUGUUGGACUCAACUUUUUAGCUCCACUAGAGGGCGACAUUAUCAAGUAGGCGGUGCACUACUUCUGCACUGUGUUCAACCAUUCUGUCAAUAAUAACUGCUGCUGUGAAGAGAACAAUUGUCACACUGAAUGUUGAACAUCAGCUAGUUUCUCCUGUUGAUUUAAACCUUGUUGUAGAGAUGGAACAUUGGCUGUGGAUUAUUCUUGCUGCUCUUUUCUUUGGACUAAUAGCUGGAGACACAAUCUCUCCUGUAGGAGAUAAAGUCAGUGGAAGAGAAGGAGAAUCUGUCACACUCAGAUGUCGAUAUGAGACAACUGACAG